Molecule: ribosomal RNA, 468 nt
Filed under: uncultured bacterium
Lineage: Bacteria
Description: partial 16S ribosomal RNA
Rfam family: Bacterial small subunit ribosomal RNA
Source: RNAcentral
GACGAACGCUGGCGGCGUGCUUAACACAUGCAAGUCGAACGGAAAGGCCCUGCUUUUGUUGGGUGCUCGAGUGGCGAACGGGUGAGUAACACGUGAGUAACCUGCCCUUGACUUUGGGAUAACUUCAGGAAACUGGGGCUAAUACCGGAUAGGAGCUCCUGCUGCAUGUUGUGGGUUGGAAAGUUUCGGCGGUUGGGGAUGGACUCGCGGCUUAUCAGCUUGUUGGUGGGGUAGUGGCUUACCAAGGCUUUGACGGGUAGCCGGCCUGAGAGGGUGACCGGCCACAUUGGGACUGAGAUACGGACCAGACUCCUACGGGAGGCAGCAGUGGGGAAUAUUGCACAAUGGGCGGAAGCCUGAUGCAGCAACGCCGCGUGCGGGAUGACGGCCUUCGGGUUGUAAACCGCUUUCGCCUGUGACGAAGCGUGAGUGACGGUAAUGGGUAAAGAAGCACCGGCUAACUACGUG